RNAcentral lists this ribosomal RNA (163 nucleotides) under Ulex parviflorus. RNAcentral's name for it is "5.8S ribosomal RNA". It matches the Rfam family "5.8S ribosomal RNA". From Rfam's summary of the family: 5.8S ribosomal RNA (5.8S rRNA) is a component of the large subunit of the eukaryotic ribosome. It is transcribed by RNA polymerase I as part of the 45S precursor that also contains 18S and 28S rRNA. RNAcentral also lists the same sequence under 19 other names. The record is from RNAcentral. Lineage: Eukaryota; Viridiplantae; Streptophyta; Magnoliopsida; Fabales; Fabaceae.
UAAAGACUCUCGGCAACGGAUAUCUCGGCUCUUGCAUCGAUGAAGAACGUAGCGAAAUGCGAUACUUGGUGUGAAUUGCAGAAUCCCGUGAACCAUCGAGUCUUUGAACGCAAGUUGCGCCCGAAGCCAUUAGGCUGAGGGCACGCCUGCCUGGGUGUUGCAC